This 460-nucleotide ribosomal RNA is filed under the name uncultured bacterium. Its description in RNAcentral is "partial 16S ribosomal RNA". It matches the Rfam family "Bacterial small subunit ribosomal RNA", at positions 338 to 795 of the family's 1533-position model. The record is from RNAcentral.
CCUACGGGAGGCAGCAGUGAGGAAUAUUGGUCAAUGGGCGCUAGCCUGAACCAGCCAAGUAGCGUGAAGGAUGACUGACCUAUGGGUUGUAAACUUCUUUUAUAUGGGAAUAAAGUGCAGUAUGUGUACUGUUUUGCAUGUACCUUAUGAAUAAGGAUCGGCUAACUCCGUGCCAGCAGCCGCGGUAAUACGGAGGAUCCGAGCGUUAUCCGGAUUUAUUGGGUUUAAAGGGAGCGUAGACGGGUUGUUAAGUCAGUUGUGAAAGUUUGCGGCUCAACCGUAAAAUUGCAAUUGAUACUGGCAUUCUUGAGUACAGUAGAGGUAGGCGGAAUUCGUGGUGUAGCGGUGAAAUGCUUAGAUAUCACGAAGAACUCCGAUUGCGAAGGCAGCCUACUAGACUGCCACUGACGCGGAUGCUCGAAAGUGUGGGUAUCAAACAGGAUUAGAUACCCGUGUAGUC